Molecule: long non-coding RNA, 257 nt
Organism: Sinocyclocheilus grahami
Lineage: Eukaryota; Metazoa; Chordata; Actinopteri; Cypriniformes; Cyprinidae
Exons: 3
Source: RefSeq, a predicted model, not a curated record
CAGGCCUUCAAGCCUUCCUUUCUUGAAGAACCGGAGCGAGCUCGUGUGGCGCGUUUCCUGACUCACCGCUGUUCGCUUUUCAACUAUUUCCACGAAUAAGUCGGUCAGGAAUUAGUAACCAUGGCAUUCAAAGACACUGGUAAGGCUCCUGUUGAGGCCGAGGUCGCAAUUCACCGUAUCCGCAUCACUCUGACCAGCCGCAAUGUCAAAUCUCUGGAAAAAGUGUGUGCCGAUUUGAUCCGAGGUGCCAAGGAGAA